GGUGGGUCCGAAGGUAGAGAGUUGUCUCAGUUAAUUGUUCCCAGUCAGUUUCAGAUCAAGUUCCUUGUUCUGUUCUUCUCCCACUUCUCACGAUUGCACUUGACUAGUCUUAU
RNAcentral lists this Y RNA (113 nucleotides) under Carlito syrichta (Philippine tarsier). Its description in RNAcentral is "Y RNA (ENSTSYG00000032949.1)". It matches the Rfam family "Y RNA". From Rfam's summary of the family: Y RNAs are components of the Ro ribonucleoprotein particle (Ro RNP), in association with Ro60 and La proteins. The Y RNAs and Ro60 and La proteins are well conserved, but the function of the Ro RNP is not known. In humans the RNA component can be one of four small RNAs -- hY1, hY3, hY4 and hY5. Lineage: Eukaryota; Metazoa; Chordata; Mammalia; Primates; Tarsiidae. The record is from Rfam by way of RNAcentral.